Molecule: ribosomal RNA, 554 nt
Filed under: uncultured Flavobacteriia bacterium
Lineage: Bacteria; Pseudomonadati; Bacteroidota; Flavobacteriia
Description: bacterial SSU rRNA
Rfam family: Bacterial small subunit ribosomal RNA
Source: RNAcentral
CACAGUGAGGAAUAUUGGACAAUGGGSGCAAGUCUGAUCCAGCCAUGCCGCGUGCAGGAAGACUGCCCUAUGGGUUGUAAACUGCUUUUAUACAGGAAGAAACACUCCCACGUGUGGGAGCUUGACGGUACUGUAAGAAUAAGGAUCGGCUAACUCCGUGCCAGCAGCCGCGGUAAUACGGAGGAUCCAAGCGUUAUCCGGAAUCAUUGGGUUUAAAGGGUCCGUAGGYGGAUAAUUAAGUCAGAGGUGAAAUCCUGCAGCUCAACUGUAGAAUUGCCUUUGAUACUGGUUGUCUUGARUUAUUAUGAAGUAGUUAGAAUAUGUAGUGUAGCGGUGAAAUGCAUAGAUAUUACAUAGAAUACCAAUUGCGAAGGCAGAUYACUAAUAAUAUACUGACACUGAUGGACGAAAGCGUGGGGAGCGAACAGGAUUAGAUACCCUGGUAGUCCACGCCGUAAACGAUGGWCACUAGCUGUUCGGACUUCGGUCUGAGUGGCUAAGCGAAAGUGAUAAGUAACCCACCUGGGGAGUACGUUCGCAAGAAUGAAACUCAA